ACUCAUAUUUCCAUAAAAGGCAGAUGUUUUUCUUUCUAUCCCUCAGGAAGAAAAUUAUCAAGAAGCAGUGAUGAAUCAAGUUAAGACACAGAAGACGAGCCCUAGCAAGGCCAGAAUAACUGAAAGAAAAUAUCAGAGGAAUCCAUCAGGAGGAAGGAGCUCAACAUCACAUUACACAAGGAAUAGUGUCAUGACUCGGGACUCAGGACUUGUGAACACAAUCUUGAAGCAUUUAGAAUAAACGUGUUCUGUGGAAGAGGAGCAGGGAC
This 269-nucleotide long non-coding RNA is filed under the name Fukomys damarensis (Damara mole-rat). RNAcentral's name for it is "lncRNA (ENSFDAG00000028925.1)". Lineage: Eukaryota; Metazoa; Chordata; Mammalia; Rodentia; Bathyergidae. The record is from RNAcentral.